Molecule: ribosomal RNA, 468 nt
Filed under: uncultured bacterium
Lineage: Bacteria
Description: partial 16S ribosomal RNA
Rfam family: Bacterial small subunit ribosomal RNA
Source: RNAcentral
GACGAACGCUGGCGGCGUGCUUAACACAUGCAAGUCGAACGGAAAGGCCCUGCUUUUGUGGGGGGCUCGAGUGGCGAACGGGUGAGUAACACGUGAGUAACCUGCCCUUGACUUUGGGAUAACUUGAGGAAACUGGGGCUAAUACCGGAUAGUAGCUCCUGCUGCAUGGUGGGGGUUGGAAAGUUUCGGCGGUUGGGGAUGGACUCGCGGCUUAUCAGCUUGUUGGUGGGGUAGUGGCUUACCAAGGCUUUGACGGGUAGCCGGCCUGAGAGGGUGACCGGCCACAUUGGGACUGAGAUACGGCCCAGACUCCUACGGGAGGCAGCAGUGGGGAAUAUUGCACAAUGGGCGGAAGCCUGAUGCAGCAACGCCGCGUGCGGGAUGACGGCCUUCGGGUUGUAAACCGCUUUCGCCUGUGACGAAGCGUGAGUGACGGUAAUGGGUAAAGAAGCACCGGCUAACUACGUG